CGGGACUUCUUGGCCCCCUUCCUUUCACCAUUCCCCACUAUUGAUGCCUGGUCCCCGAAUCCCAUUUCAAAAGUCUCAGAGCAGUCGUCCCUUAAAGAAUUGGAGUUUGAGUCCCUGUCAGGAACCACCACCUUGGGUCCAUGGAAGUAAUCCACAUUUGCUGGUGACACUUUGGCAUUGGAAGCAGAAGCAGACUUCAACUCGUCAAUCUCAGCCACCACAGCAGCAGCAGUUUUCCUAAUAGAGUUAGACCUGUCAAGGCUCCUCCUCCUCCUAGACGAAGAAUCAGAAUAAUAGUCCCUGGUUUGAGCAGAGCCACCAGGAACAAUCUCAUCCUCGUGGAUGGAAUUCAUGGGA
Molecule: unclassified non-coding RNA, 357 nt
Filed under: Hevea brasiliensis (rubber tree)
Lineage: Eukaryota; Viridiplantae; Streptophyta; Magnoliopsida; Malpighiales; Euphorbiaceae
Source: RNAcentral